UGAAAUUUAAAAAUAACAAUAAUAAUAAUAAUAAAAAAGAUCUGCAAAUUCAAACAUUGUCACUCCCCACUAUCCAGGUAUACAAGAGCUGCCCCUUCCUUCUCCCCCUCCCCCCCAACUCUUUUCCUUCUUUUUCCUCUUCCUCCUCCUUUUCUUUCUCCCCUUUCUGUUCUUAUUGUUCUCUUCAUCCUUUCGCCAACUGUUUCAGGCUGUACACCUUUAUUGAAACAGGCUGCAAUGGCCAUUACACUUGAUAUGCUGCCAUUUUGCUAUGAUUUCAGAAUCAAAGAGGGUGUAUUAGAAAAUAUAUGAUUGGCCCUUCAAAAUUCUGUUACAUGUUAACUGAUGUAUUUACACUAUGCAAAUACAAUGGCUUGGAAGUUUUGAAUUGAAUAUUGAAGAACAUUUUCUAUAGAAGGGGAAAAAAUCUGAAAGAAAAUGCCUUUUAUGAAUUUAGAUUUAUUCCUUAUUUGUUUACCAGAAAAUCCCAAGAGAAACAUCUACAUACAAUGACAAUAAUCCAAAGAUAACAGAUUGUUUAUAGAGAAAAUAUGUAGAAUCUAACAAAAAAAAAAUUACAGUGCAUUGCUACCAAACGUGAAUUUCUGGUAACAACUGAAGAAAGAAAAAAAAGCACCUGAUCAGUUGUGCGGAUGUCAGG
RNAcentral lists this unclassified non-coding RNA (661 nucleotides) under Hevea brasiliensis (rubber tree). Lineage: Eukaryota; Viridiplantae; Streptophyta; Magnoliopsida; Malpighiales; Euphorbiaceae. The record is from RNAcentral.